AUUGAACGCUGGCGGCAGGCCUAACACAUGCAAGUCGAACGAGUGGCGGACGGGUGAGUAAUGUCUGGGAAACUGCCUGAUGGAGGGGGAUAACUACUGGAAACGGUAGCUAAUACCGCAUACCAUCGGAUGUGCCCAGAUGGGAUUAGCUAGUAGGUGGGGUAACGGCUCACCUAGGCGACGCUCCCUAGCUGGUCUGAGAGGAUGACCAGCCACACUGGACCUGAGACACGGUCCAGACUCCUACGGGAGGCAGCGUUGGGGAAGAUUGCACAAUGGGCGCACGCCGGAUGCAGCCAUGCCUCGUGUAUGAAGAAGGCCUUCGGGUUGUAAAGUACUUUCAGCGGGGAGGCGUUACCCGCAGAAGAAGCACCGGCUAACUCCGUGCCAGCAGCCGCGGUAAUAC
This 406-nucleotide ribosomal RNA is filed under the name uncultured bacterium. Its description in RNAcentral is "partial 16S ribosomal RNA". It matches the Rfam family "Bacterial small subunit ribosomal RNA", at positions 30 to 526 of the family's 1533-position model. The record is from RNAcentral.